Molecule: ribosomal RNA, 494 nt
Filed under: uncultured bacterium
Lineage: Bacteria
Description: partial 16S ribosomal RNA
Rfam family: Bacterial small subunit ribosomal RNA
Source: RNAcentral
GACGAACGCCGGCGGCGUGCUUAACACAUGCAAGUCGAACGGAAAGGCCUGCUUUCCCUUGUGGAUUGCGGGUACUCGAGUGGCGAACGGGUGAGUAACACGUGAGUGAUCUGCCCCCAACUUGGGUAUAAGCCUGGGAAACUGGGUCUAAUUCCCGAUAGGACUGCAGGGUGGUGCCUGUGGUGGAAAACGAUUUUCUAGUGGUUGGGGAUGAGCUCGCGGCCUAUCAGCUUGUUGGUGGGGUAAUGGCCUACCAAGGCGGCGACGGGUAGCCGGCCUGAGAGGGUGGACGGCCACAUUGGGACUGAGAUACGGCCCAGACUCCUACGGGAGGCAGCAGUGGGGAAUAUUGCACAAUGGGCGGAAGCCAGAUGCAGCGACGCCGCGUGGGGGAUGACGGCCUUCGGGUUGUAAACUCCUUUCGACCGCGAGGAAGCCACCUGGUUGGAAGGGUGGUGACGGUAGUGGUAGAAGAAGCACCGGCUAACUACGUG